Molecule: ribosomal RNA, 395 nt
Filed under: uncultured bacterium
Lineage: Bacteria
Description: partial 16S ribosomal RNA
Rfam family: Bacterial small subunit ribosomal RNA
Source: RNAcentral
AUACGUAGGGUGCAAGCGUUAAUCGGAAUUACUGGGCGUAAAGCGUGCGCAGGCGGUUUUGUAAGACAGAGGUGAAAUCCCCGGGCUCAACCUGGGAAAUGCCUUUGUGACUGCAAGGCUAAAGUACGGCAGAGGGGGGUGGAAUUCCCCGGGUAGCAGGGAAAUGCGUAGAUAUGCGGAGGAACACCGAUGGCGAAGGCAAUCCCCUGGGCCUGUACUGACGCUCAUGCACGAAAGCGUGGGGAGCAAACAGGAUUAGAUACCCUGGUAGUCCACGCCCUGAACGAUGUCAACUGGUUGUUGGGUCUUCAUUGACUCAGUAACGAAGCUAACGCGUGAAGUUGACCGCCUGGGGAGUACGGCCGCAAGGUUGAAACUCAAAUGAAUUGACGGGG